UGAGGAAUAUUGCACAAUGGGCGCAAGCCUGAUGCAGCAACGCCGCGUGCGGGACGAAGGCCUUCGGGUCGUAAACCGCUUUUCUGGGGGAAGGGCAAGGACGGUACCUCAGGAAUAAGUCUCGGCUAACUACGUGCCAGCAGCCGCGGUAAAACGUAGGAGGCGAGCGUUAUCCGGAUUUACUGGGCGUAAAGCGCACGCAGGCGGCUCUGUUAGUCGGACGUGAAAGCUCUCGGCUUAACCGGGAGAGGCCGUUCGAUACUGCGGAGCUUGAGGCAGGGGGAGGAAGGCGGAAUUCCCGGUGUAGUGGUGGAAUGCGUAGAUAUCGCGAGGAACACCGGUGGCGAAAGCGGCAU
RNAcentral lists this ribosomal RNA (356 nucleotides) under uncultured bacterium. RNAcentral's name for it is "bacterial SSU rRNA". It matches the Rfam family "Bacterial small subunit ribosomal RNA", at positions 355 to 727 of the family's 1533-position model. The record is from RNAcentral.